Molecule: ribosomal RNA, 490 nt
Filed under: uncultured bacterium
Lineage: Bacteria
Description: partial 16S ribosomal RNA
Rfam family: Bacterial small subunit ribosomal RNA
Source: RNAcentral
AUUGAACGCUGGCGGCAGGCUUAACACAUGCAAGUCGAGCGGUAGCACAGGGGAGCUUGCUCCCUGGGUGACGAGCGGCGGACGGGUGAGUAAUGUCUGGGAAACUGCCUGAUGGAGGGGGAUAACUACUGGAAACGGUAGCUAAUACCGCAUAACGUCGCAAGACCAAAGAGGGGGACCUUCGGGCCUCUUGCCAUCAGAUGUGCCCAGAUGGGAUUAGCUAGUAGGUGGGGUAAUGGCUCACCUAGGCGACGAUCCCUAUCUGGUCUGAGAGGAUGACCCGCCCCACUGGAACUGAGACACGGUCCAGACUCCUACGGGAGGCAGCAGUGGGGAAUAUUGCACAAUGGGCGCAAGCCUGAUGCAGCCAUGCCGCGUGUGUGAAGAAGGCCUUCGGGUUGUAAAGCACUUUCAGCGAGGAGGAAGGUGGUGAGCUUAAUACGUUCAUCAAUUGACGUUACUCGCAGAAGAAGCACCGGCUAACUCCGUG